UGAGGUAGAGGCGCGAUAUUUAACAGUCUUUAGUGGAGUUUGAGAAGCAGUGAUACUAAGGAGAAGGAAAUGUCGCCGAAGUGUGUAAUAGUCUCACUAUUGCAUGCUGGGUCUGCAGUUAAGAGCUGCAGGACUGUCUCAAUAAACCUCCAGUUUAUUGAG
Molecule: non-coding RNA, 162 nt
Filed under: uncultured Ferdinandcohnia sp.
Lineage: Bacteria; Bacillati; Bacillota; Bacilli; Caryophanales; Bacillaceae
Description: Lysine riboswitch
Rfam family: Lysine riboswitch aptamer
About the family: Riboswitches are metabolite binding domains within certain messenger RNAs that serve as precision sensors for their corresponding targets. Allosteric rearrangement of mRNA structure is mediated by ligand binding, and this results in modulation of gene expression.
Source: RNAcentral